RNAcentral lists this ribosomal RNA (180 nucleotides) under Shigella flexneri. RNAcentral's name for it is "partial 16S ribosomal RNA". It matches the Rfam family "Bacterial small subunit ribosomal RNA", at positions 1 to 175 of the family's 1533-position model. Lineage: Bacteria; Pseudomonadati; Pseudomonadota; Gammaproteobacteria; Enterobacterales; Enterobacteriaceae. The record is from RNAcentral.
AAAUUGAAGAGUUUGAUCAUGGCUCAGAUUGAACGCUGGCGGCAGGCCUAACACAUGCAAGUCGAACGGUAACAGGAAGCGCUUGCUGCUUCGCUGACGAGUGGCGGACGGGUGAGUAAUGUCUGGGAAACUGCCUGAUGGAGGGGGAUAACUACUGGAAACGGUAGCUAAUACCGCAUA